GGUAUGCCUUACACAUGCAAGUCGAACGGUAGAGGGGCAACCCUUGAGAGUGGCGAACGGGUGAGUAAUACAUCGGAACGUGCCCAGUCGUGGGGGAUAACGUAGCGAAAGCUACGCUAAUACCGCAUACGACCUGAGGGUGAAAGCGGGGGAUCGCAAGACCUCGCGCGAUUGGAGCGGCCGAUGGCAGAUUAGGUAGUUGGUGGGGUAAAGGCCUACCAAGCCUGCGAUCUGUAGCUGGUCUGAGAGGACGACCAGCCACACUGGGACUGAGACACGGCCCAGACUCCUACGGGAGGCAGCAGUGGGGAAUUUUGGACAAUGGGCGCAAGCCUGAUCCAGCCAUACCGCGUGCGGGAAGAAGGCCUUCGGGUUGUAAACCGCUUUUGUCAGGGAAGAAAUCUUCUGGGCUAAUACCUCGGGAGGAUGACGGUACCUGAAGAAUAAGCACCGGCUAACUACGUGCCAGCAGCCGCGGUAAUACGUAGGGUGCAAGCGUUAAUCGGAAUUACUGGGCGUAAAGCGUGCGCAGGCGGUUCCAUAAGACAGAUGUGAAAUCCCCGGGCUCAACCUGGGAACUGCAUUUGUGACUG
This 593-nucleotide ribosomal RNA is filed under the name uncultured Sphaerotilus sp. RNAcentral describes it as "bacterial SSU rRNA". It matches the Rfam family "Bacterial small subunit ribosomal RNA", at positions 41 to 635 of the family's 1533-position model. The record is from RNAcentral. Lineage: Bacteria; Pseudomonadati; Pseudomonadota; Betaproteobacteria; Burkholderiales; Sphaerotilaceae.